Molecule: ribosomal RNA, 253 nt
Filed under: uncultured bacterium
Lineage: Bacteria
Description: partial 16S ribosomal RNA
Rfam family: Bacterial small subunit ribosomal RNA
Source: RNAcentral
UACGUAGGGGGCUAGCGUUGUCCGGAUUUAUUGGGCGUAAGGAGCGUGUAGGCGGCCAGGUAGGUCUGGUGUGAAAACUCGAGGCUUAACCUCGAGAUGUCAUCGGAAACCAUCUGGCUAGAGUCCGGAAGAGGAGAGUGGAAUUCCUGGUGUAGCGGUGAAAUGCGCAGAUAUCAGGAGGAACACCUGUGGCGAAGGCGGCCCCCUGGUUGGAUACUGACGCUGAUACGCGAAAGCGUGGGGAGCAAACAGG